UAGUUCUAACCCUAAACGAUGCUGACCAGCUAUUCGCCGUCGUUAUUCCCAUGACGUGGCGAGACGCCCCCGGGAAACCUCGAGUCUUUGAGUUCCGGGGGUAGUAUGGUUGCAAAACUGAAACUUAAAGGAAUUGACGGAAGGGCACCACCAGGAGUGGAGCCUGCGGCUUAAUUUGACUCAACACGGGAAACCUCACCAGGCCCGGACACCAGAAGGAUUGACAGAUUAAGAGCUCUUUCUCAAUUUGGUGGGUGGUGGUGCAUGGCCGUUCUUAGUUGGUGGAGUGAUUUGUCUGGUUAAUUCCGGUAACGAACGAGACUCUGGCCUACUAACUAGUGGGCGGGUGUUCUGGUAAGGGGCCCCGCCCGACAAUGUCUUCUUAGAGGGAUGAGCAGCGAGUAUAGCUGCAGGAGAUUGAGCAAUAACAGGUCUGUG
RNAcentral lists this ribosomal RNA (438 nucleotides) under Synalpheus nobilii. RNAcentral describes it as "SSU rRNA". It matches the Rfam family "Eukaryotic small subunit ribosomal RNA", at positions 1021 to 1466 of the family's 1831-position model. The record is from RNAcentral. Lineage: Eukaryota; Metazoa; Arthropoda; Malacostraca; Decapoda; Alpheidae.